AAAGUUAAACAGUACGUGAAAUUGUUGAAAGGGAAACGAUUAAAGUCAGUCGUACUGACGGGGAAUCAACCUCUCGAUCGUGGUUUAGCGGGGUCAAAGAGUCUUUGUUCUCGCGAUAUCCGCUUUCUUUUGGUGCACUUUCUCGUAUUGUAGGUUAGCAUCGGUUUUGAUUGUCAUAAAAUGAUCGGAGGAAUGUGGCUUCGGCUUCGGUUGAAGUGUUUAUAGACUCUGGUAGAUGUAAUGGUCGAGACCGAGGAUUGCAACGGAUACCCUCAAGGGCUAUCCGCCUGACCUCUGAUUUGUCACUUUGGCGUCGAAAGCUUGCUUACGAUGUUAAAGUGUGCGGUCAACAGGCUAGAGCGGAUUAAAUUCGUUAAGGAUGCUGACGUAAUGGCUUUAAACGA
RNAcentral lists this unclassified non-coding RNA (404 nucleotides) under uncultured Glomeromycotina. Its description in RNAcentral is "sequence contains 28S rRNA gene". The record is from RNAcentral. Lineage: Eukaryota; Fungi; Glomeromycota.